Non-coding RNA from Pelobates cultripes (western spadefoot toad), 108 nucleotides. The record is from the annotation of a GenBank genome assembly. Lineage: Eukaryota; Metazoa; Chordata; Amphibia; Anura; Pelobatidae.
CUGUGCUGUCUCUGCUCUGCUUCCCUGCCCUUGCGCGCUACUUAAUGAGACUGGGGCCGGAAUAUGACGUCAUAUCGUGCUGUGGAGCAGAGCAGAGACAGCACAGCU